RNAcentral lists this ribosomal RNA (745 nucleotides) under uncultured bacterium. RNAcentral describes it as "bacterial SSU rRNA". It matches the Rfam family "Bacterial small subunit ribosomal RNA", at positions 33 to 773 of the family's 1533-position model. The record is from RNAcentral.
ACGCUGGCGGCAGGCCUAACACAUGCAAGUCGAGCGGUAGAGAGAAGCUUGCUUCUCUUGAGAGCGGCGGACGGGUGAGUAAUGCCUAGGAAUCUGCCUGGUAGUGGGGGAUAACGUUCGGAAACGGACGCUAAUACCGCAUACGUCCUACGGGAGAAAGCAGGGGACCUUCGGGCCUUGCGCUAUCAGAUGAGCCUAGGUCGGAUUAGCUAGUUGGUGAGGUAAUGGCUCACCAAGGCGACGAUCCGUAACUGGUCUGAGAGGAUGAUCAGUCACACUGGAACUGAGACACGGUCCAGACUCCUACGGGAGGCAGCAGUGGGGAAUAUUGGACAAUGGGCGAAAGCCUGAUCCAGCCAUGCCGCGUGUGUGAAGAAGGUCUUCGGAUUGUAAAGCACUUUAAGUUGGGAGGGAGGGCGGUUACCUAAUACGUGAUUGUUUUGACGUUACCGACAGAAUAAGCACCGGCUAACUCUGUGCCAGCAGCCGCGGUAAUACAGAGGGUGCAAGCGUUAAUCGGAAUUACUGGGCGUAAAGCGCGCGUAGGUGGUUUGUUAAGUUGGAUGUGAAAUCCCCGGGCUCAACCUGGGAACUGCAUUCAAAACUGACUGACUAGAGUAUGGUAGAGGGUGGUGGAAUUUCCUGUGUAGCGGUGAAAUGCGUAGAUAUAGGAAGGAACACCAGUGGCGAAGGCGACCACCUGGACUGAUACUGACACUGAGGUGCGAAAGCGUGGGGAGCAAAC